UUUGAAAACUGCAAUUGGGCCUACUAAGGAACCAUGAUAGUGUUUGGUACAUAGAGGACACUGGAAAUGGUUUUCUUAACUGAACAAGUGACUAGAAUAAAGGAAUUAAUGAACGACAUCAGAGCUGAAAUCCCAAACCAUAAAUCAUAAAAGGAUCAGACAGCAAAGGUAAGGAUAGUGUUUCUUGAACAGCUGUGUCAGUAUGUCCAUGAUCCUGAGAGGAGAAGGGAAAGUCUUGACUGACUAAAGUGAUGAUUCUGAACUGUGAAUAGACUCAAGAAUAUCACUGUUUUGCAUAAUCUAUUCUUUGAUAUCUAGUUUAGGGCCAAGAAGGAAUAUGUGUUCUUGAUAAUGACAACAGAUAUGUUUAUUGAUCGUAGCAAGACAUAUAAGAUAGCUGCUUGGCCAGAAAAGGAGGAGAGAGCUGAGCCUGGGGACCUGGUUAUGAGCAGGUGGUUUGUGUAGGUGGCUUUGGUACUUGGUUUAAAAUAUAGCUGGGUUCCUGG
RNAcentral lists this long non-coding RNA (506 nucleotides) under Homo sapiens (human). RNAcentral describes it as "HSALNT0070965". Lineage: Eukaryota; Metazoa; Chordata; Mammalia; Primates; Hominidae. The record is from RNAcentral.